CUUGGUUGAUUCAGCCUUCAAAUGAACCUACUUCUUAAAAUCUGAUGCCAGGCAAUCAUCAAAGCAGCAUGAAGGAAUAAUCAGAUCACCAGGGACAGACUGGCAACCGUUCAGAGCUGCUCUUGGACUCCGUGGAGCCUGCUUUGUUGCCGCAGCUGUAGAAGGAUUGUCAAACAUGACAACUAGUGAUUUUGAAAGACAUUUUUAGUUUAGUAUCAAUCCCCAGGAAUUUGGGACAUUGAUGCUAAAAUAUAAGCAAAAUUUUUAGGUAUUAUUUUCACUUUCAGAUGAUGACUACUACUACAGUAAGUUGACUAUGAUUUAAAGGUUACACGAGGCCAAUUUCUUUAUUGGAAACUUUUUGUAAAAAGAUACUAAUGUACUGCUGUUUCUCCAGAACCUUUUUCUUUUCCAAUCAGCCUCUUCAUGGCCCCCUUGAACUCCUUAUUCCUUAGUGUAUAAAUCAAUGGAUUCAAGCUGGGAGUAACAAUGGAAUAAAAGAUACUGAGAAGUUUACCCUCAUCCUGAGAAGGACUAUUUCCUGGUUGUAUGUACAUGUAGAUAAUAGUCCCAUAGAAGAUAGACACCACAAUGAGAUGGGAAGAACAAGUCCCAAAUGCCUUUUGUCUCCCUGCUGCAG
This 640-nucleotide long non-coding RNA is filed under the name Equus asinus (donkey). RNAcentral describes it as "lncRNA (ENSEASG00005032269.1)". The record is from RNAcentral. Lineage: Eukaryota; Metazoa; Chordata; Mammalia; Perissodactyla; Equidae.